RNAcentral lists this ribosomal RNA (253 nucleotides) under uncultured bacterium. RNAcentral describes it as "partial 16S ribosomal RNA". It matches the Rfam family "Bacterial small subunit ribosomal RNA", at positions 524 to 776 of the family's 1533-position model. The record is from RNAcentral.
UACAGAGGGGGCAAGCGUUAUUCGGAAUUAUUGGGCGUAAAGGGCGCGUAGGCGGCCUGGCAAGUGGAAGGUGAAAUCCCUCGGCUUAACCGAGGAACUGCCUUCCAAACUGCUUGGCUUGAGUCCGGGAGAGGUGAGUGGAAUUCCCAGUGUAGCGGUGAAAUGCGUAGAUAUUGGGAGGGACGCCAGUGGCGAGGGCGGCUCACUGGACCGGAACUGACGCUGAUGCGCGAAAGCGUGGGGAGCAAACGGG